CCUACGGGAGGCAGCAGUGAGGAAUAUUGGUCAAUGGGCGCGAGCCUGAACCAGCCAAGUAGCGUGAAGGAUGACUGCCCUACGGGUUGUAAACUUCUUUUAUAAAGGAAUCAAGUGAGGCCCGUGUGCCUUUUUGUAUGUACUUUAUGAAUAAGGAUCGGGUAACUCCGUGCCAGCAGCCGCGUUAAUCCGGAGGAUCCGAGCGUUAUCCGGGUUUAUUGGGUUUAACGGGUGCGUAGAUGGGUUGGUAAGUCAGUUGUGAAAGUUUGUGGCUCAAACGUAAAAUUGCAAUUGAUACUGGCAGUCUUGAGUACAGGAGAGGUGGGCGGAAUUCGUGGUGUAGCGGUGAAAUGCUUAGAUAUCACGAAGAACUCCGAUUGCGAAGGCAGCUCACUGGACUGCAACUGACACUGAGGCUCGAAAGUGUGGGUAUCAAACAGGAUUAGAUACCCGAGUAGUC
Molecule: ribosomal RNA, 460 nt
Filed under: uncultured bacterium
Lineage: Bacteria
Description: partial 16S ribosomal RNA
Rfam family: Bacterial small subunit ribosomal RNA
Source: RNAcentral